RNAcentral lists this transfer RNA (214 nucleotides) under Nanobdellota archaeon. Its description in RNAcentral is "tRNA-Pro". RNAcentral also lists the same sequence under 1 other name. The record is from RNAcentral. Lineage: Archaea; Nanobdellati; Nanobdellota.
GGGGCUGUGGUCUAGCUUGGUAUGAUACGUGCCCGGGGCGCACGUGAUCCGGGGUUCAAAACAAUGGUUUCGCCCAUUGACGACGAAGUAUGUUUCGCUUCGCUCAAGCAUACAGUAUCGAAACCACACCUGACGCUGUAAAGCGUCGCAACUGCAAGGAGCAUGAUGGUGUCGACGGAAAUGACCGUCGUUGGCGAAAGUCCUCGCAGCCCCA